Molecule: ribosomal RNA, 253 nt
Filed under: uncultured bacterium
Lineage: Bacteria
Description: partial 16S ribosomal RNA
Rfam family: Bacterial small subunit ribosomal RNA
Source: RNAcentral
UACGGGGGGGGCAAGCGUUGUUCGGAAUUACUGGGCGUAAAGGGCUCGUAGGCGGCCAACUAAGUCAGACGUGAAAUCCCUCGGCUUAACCGGGGAACUGCCUUUGAUACUGAAGAUCUUGAGUUCGGGAGAGGUGAGUGGAACUGCGAGUGUAGAGGUGAAAUUCGUAGAUAUUCGCAAGAACACCAGUGGCGAAGGCGGCUCACUGGCCCGAUACUGACGCUGAGGCACGAAAGCGUGGGGAGCAAACAGG